Molecule: long non-coding RNA, 231 nt
Filed under: Rattus norvegicus (Norway rat)
Lineage: Eukaryota; Metazoa; Chordata; Mammalia; Rodentia; Muridae
Description: long non-coding RNA NONRATT008899
Source: RNAcentral
GAGGGAAGCUCCUGAGCUGAGGGCCGGCCUGCAGCCCUCCUGCUGCGCAUCCUCCUGCUGCGCAUCCAGACCCCGUGUAGAAAUGCUGAGUGCAUCUAUUUUUGUUCUCCUAUGGCAGCAGCCCUUGAAGAUUUGAGUUGAUUAAUGUAUCUUCAGGUUAAAACGGCCCUGGUUCAUUUAUUCUGCAUUUGUUCAAUAAAUAUUUAAUUGAAUUCGUAAAAAAAAAAAAAA